RNAcentral lists this ribosomal RNA (893 nucleotides) under uncultured bacterium. RNAcentral's name for it is "bacterial SSU rRNA". It matches the Rfam family "Bacterial small subunit ribosomal RNA", at positions 63 to 952 of the family's 1533-position model. The record is from RNAcentral.
UUGACGGCAGCGGGUUGUAGCAAUACAAUGCCGGCGAGUGGCGCACGGGUGCGUAACACGUAUGCAACCUACCCUAUACUGGGGCAUAACCUUUAGAAAUGAGGGCUAAUACUCCAUGUAAUUGUGUUGAGGCAUCUUUAUAUAAUUAAAGAUUUAUCGGUAUAGGAUGGGCAUGCGUCCCAUUAGUUAGUUGGUAGGGUAACGGCCUACCGAGACUGUGAUGGGUAGGGGUCCUGAGAGGGUUAACCCCCACACUGGUACUGAGACACGGACCAGACUCCUACGGGAGGCAGCAGUAAGGAAUAUUGGGCAAUGGCCGUAAGGCUGACCCAGCCAUGCCGCGUGCAGGAAGACGGCCUUAUGGGUUGUAAACUGCUUUUAUGUGGGAAUAACCGUAGCUAUGCGUAGCUACCUGCAAGUACCAUAUGAAUAAGCAUCGGCUAACUCCGUGCCAGCAGCCGCGGUAAUACGGAGGAUGCGAGCGUUAUCCGGAAUCAUUGGGUUUAAAGGGUGCGUAGGCUGGUAUUUAAGUCAGUGGUGAAAUUUUCGUGCUUAACAUGAGAGCUGCCAUUGAUACUGGAUACCUUGAGUGUAUUUGAUGUGGGCGGAAUGUGUUGUGUAGCGGUGAAACGCAUAGAUAUGACACAGAACACCGAUAGCGAAGGCAGCUCACAAAGUUACAACUGACGCUGAUGCACGAAAGCGUGGGGAUCAAACAGGAUUAGAUACCCUGGUAGUCCACGCUGUAAACGAUGAUCACUAGCUGUAGGCGAUACACUGUCUGUGGCUAAGCGAAAGCGAUAAGUGAUCCACCUGGGGAGUACGUUCGCAAGAAUGAAACUCAAAGGAAGUGACGGGGGCCCGCACAAGCGGAGGAGCAUGUGGUUUAAUUC